RNAcentral lists this ribosomal RNA (253 nucleotides) under uncultured bacterium. RNAcentral's name for it is "partial 16S ribosomal RNA". It matches the Rfam family "Bacterial small subunit ribosomal RNA", at positions 524 to 776 of the family's 1533-position model. The record is from RNAcentral.
UACGUAGGGUGCGAGCGUUGUCCGGAAUUAUUGGGCGUAAAGAGCUCGUAGGCGGUUUGUCACGUCUGCUGUGAAAACCUAAGGCUCAACCUUGGGCUUGCAGUGGGUACGGGCAGACUAGAGUGCGGUAGGGGUGACUGGAAUUCCUGGUGUAGCGGUGGAAUGCGCAGAUAUCAGGAGGAACACCGAUGGCGAAGGCAGGUCACUGGGCCGCAACUGACGCUGAGGCACGAAAGCGUGGGGAGCAAACAGG